GGUUAAGCGACUAAGCGUACACGGUGGAUGCCCUGGCAGUCAGAGGCGAUGAAGGACGUGCUAAUCUGCGAAAAGCGUCGGUAAGGUGAUAUGAACCGUUAUAACCGGCGAUGUCCGAAUGGGGAAACCCAGUGCAAUUCGUUGCACUAUCGUUAACUGAAUACAUAGGUUAACGAGGCGAACCGGGGGAACUGAAACAUCUAAGUACCCCGAGGAAAAGAAAUCAACCGAGAUUCCCCAGUAGCGGCGAGCGAACGGGGAGCAGCCCAGAGUCUGAAUCAGCUUGUGUGUUAGUGGAACGGUCUGGAAAGUCCGACGGUACAGGGUGAUAGUCCCGUACACCAAAAUGCACAGGCUGUGAACUCGAAGAGUAGGGCGGGACACGUGGUAUCCUGUCUGAAUAUGGGGGGACCAUCCUCCAAGGCUAAAUACUCCUGACUGACCGAUAGUGAACCAGUACCGUGAGGGAAAGGCGAAAAGAACCCCGGCGAGGGGAGUGAAAAAGAACCUGAAACCGUGUACGUACAAGCAGUGGGAGCACCUUCGGGUGUGACUGCGUACCUUUUGUAUAAUGGGUCAGCGACUUAUAUUCUGUAGCAAGGUUAACCGUAUAGGGGAGCCGCAGGGAAACCGAGUCUUAACUGGGCGUUAAGUUGCAGGGUAUAGACCCGAAACCCGGUGAUCUAGCCAUGGGCAGGUUGAAGGUUGGGUAACACUAACUGGAGGACCGAACCGACUAAUGUUGAAAAAUUAGCGGAUGACUUGUGGCUGGGGGUGAAAGGCCAAUCAAACCGGGAGAUAGCUGGUUCUCCCCGAAAGCUAUUUAGGUAGCGCCUCGUGAAUUCAUCUUCGGGGGUAGAGCACUGUUUCGGCUAGGGGGUCAUCCCGACUUACCAACCCGAUGCAAACUACGAAUACCGAAGAAUGUUAUCACGGGAGACACACGGCGGGUGCUAACGUCCGUCGUGAAGAGGGAAACAACCCAGACCGCCAGCUAAGGUCCCAAAGUCAUGGUUAAGUGGGAAACGAUGUGGGAAGGCACAGACAGCCAGGAUGUUGGCUUAGAAGCAGCCAUCAUUUAAAGAAAGCGUAAUAGCUCACUGGUCGAGUCGGCCUGCGCGGAAGAUGUAACGGGGCUAAACCAUGCACCGAAGCUGCGGCAGCGACACUAUGUGUUGUUGGGUAGGGGAGCGUUCUGUAAGCCUGCGAAGGUGUGCUGUGAGGCAUGCUGGAGGUAUCAGAAGUGCGAAUGCUGACAUAAGUAACGAUAAAGCGGGUGAAAAGCCCGCUCGCCGGAAGACCAAGGGUUCCUGUCCAACGUUAAUCGGGGCAGGGUGAGUCGACCCCUAAGGCGAGGCCGAAAGGCGUAGUCGAUGGGAAACAGGUUAAUAUUCCUGUACUUGGUGUUACUGCGAAGGGGGGACGGAGAAGGCUAUGUUAGCCGGGCGACGGUUGUCCCGGUUUAAGCAUGUAGGCUGAUUAUCCAGGCAAAUCCGGAUAAUCAAGGCUGAGGUGUGAUGACGAGGCACUACGGUGCUGAAGUAACAAAUGCCCUGCUUCCAGGAAAAGCCUCUAAGCAUCAGGUAACAUCAAAUCGUACCCCAAACCGACACAGGUGGUCAGGUAGAGAAUACCAAGGCGCUUGAGAGAACUCGGGUGAAGGAACUAGGCAAAAUGGUGCCGUAACUUCGGGAGAAGGCACGCUGGUGUGUAGGUGAAGCCCCUGCGGGUGGAGCUGAGACCAGUCGAAGAUACCAGCUGGCUGCAACUGUUUAUUAAAAACACAGCACUGUGCAAACACGAAAGUGGACGUAUACGGUGUGACGCCUGCCCGGUGCCGGAAGGUUAAUUGAUGGGGUUAUCCGUAAGGAGAAGCUCUUGAUCGAAGCCCCGGUAAACGGCGGCCGUAACUAUAACGGUCCUAAGGUAGCGAAAUUCCUUGUCGGGUAAGUUCCGACCUGCACGAAUGGCGUAAUGAUGGCCAGGCUGUCUCCACCCGAGACUCAGUGAAAUUGAACUCGCUGUGAAGAUGCAGUGUACCCGCGGCAAGACGGAAAGACCCCGUGAACCUUUACUAUAGCUUGACACUGAACAUUGAGCCUUGAUGUGUAGGAUAGGUGGGAGGCUUUGAAGCGUGGACGCCAGUCUGCGUGGAGCCAACCUUGAAAUACCACCCUUUAAUGUUUGAUGUUCUAACGUUGGCCCCUUACCGGGGUUGCGGACAGUGUCUGGUGGGUAGUUUGACUGGGGCGGUCUCCUCCCAAAGCGUAACGGAGGAGCACGAAGGUUAGCUAAUCCUGGUCGGACAUCAGGAGGUUAGUGCAAUGGCAUAAGCUAGCUUGACUGCGAGCGUGACGGCGCGAGCAGGUGCGAAAGCAGGUCAUAGUGAUCCGGUGGUUCUGAAUGGAAGGGCCAUCGCUCAACGGAUAAAAGGUACUCCGGGGAUAACAGGCUGAUACCGCCCAAGAGUUCAUAUCGACGGCGGUGUUUGGCACCUCGAUGUCGGCUCAUCACAUCCUGGGGCUGAAGUAGGUCCCAAGGGUAUGGCUGUUCGCCAUUUAAAGUGGUACGCGAGCUGGGUUUAGAACGUCGUGAGACAGUUCGGUCCCUAUCUGCCGUGGGCGCUGGAGAAUUGAGGGGGGCUGCUCCUAGUACGAGAGGACCGGAGUGGACGCAUCACUGGUGUUCGGGUUGUCAUGCCAAUGGCACUGCCCGGUAGCUAAAUGCGGAAGAGAUAAGUGCUGAAAGCAUCUAAGCACGAAACUUGCCCCGAGAUGAGUUCUCCCUGAGACUUUAAGUCUCCUGAAGGAACGUUGAAGACGACGACGUUGAUAGGCCGGGUGUGUAAGCGCAGCGAUGCGUUGAGCUAACCGGUACUAAUGAACCGUGAGGCUUAACCUU
This 2901-nucleotide ribosomal RNA is filed under the name Klebsiella pneumoniae. Its description in RNAcentral is "23S ribosomal RNA". It matches the Rfam family "Bacterial large subunit ribosomal RNA". Lineage: Bacteria; Pseudomonadati; Pseudomonadota; Gammaproteobacteria; Enterobacterales; Enterobacteriaceae. The record is from RNAcentral.